Bombyx mori (domestic silkworm) is the source of this 6553-nucleotide long non-coding RNA. RefSeq lists it as uncharacterized. Lineage: Eukaryota; Metazoa; Arthropoda; Insecta; Lepidoptera; Bombycidae. The record is from RefSeq and is a predicted model, not a curated record. The transcript is spliced from 3 exons.
AUAAUUACGUAUUUAUUUAAAAAAAUAUAGAAAUUUUACCUUCCAAUAAAAUUUGUAUUAUGUUUCCUAAGACGUCCGAAGUCCAUUAUGAGAGUACAUCGUAUGAUUUCCACUGCAGGUCGCUAAAUUUGACUACUUCCGUUUCCUAAGUCCCGCCUACAGCGCCCUCUAUAACGUCUGGAACCGAACCAACAAGCAAAGACAAGCCGCCAUAUUUGUCAUUGUUCGGCUCAUAAUGAUGGAUGUAGCCCCAGGAAGCCAUUAUCUGGACUUCGGACGUCUUAGGAAACAUAAUACAAAUUUUAUUGGAAGGUAAAAUUUCUAUAUUAUGUGUUCCGUUUGACGUCCGAAGUCCAUUAUGAGAGACUGUUUGUUAUCUCCUGGUGGCUUGUAUUUGAAAUAAACAAAUUUAUUUAAAAAGCAACAAUGUGACUUAUUAUGUUUAAUUGAAGCAAAGCUUGAAUUAACCACAUAAUUUAAAAUAAUCGAAGGUAACCGUAUAAUAUUACGCACUUAAUUCAAAUCGACCUAAUAGGAUUUAGGACGAAAAUACUGAGAAAGAUUUCUCAGAAUUUAUAUCAGUGUUUGAUGCAUCAAUAAUAUGUUUUUGAUAGAACUUUCUAAAAGUAUGUUCAAUUUCCUACCCAGUUUAAAGUUUUCACCACCGCUCUACAACUUCCAACUGAGGCCUGAAUACCUAAGUCUCCUAAAAAACUUUUUACCCAACUACUAGUCAUCGCUGUAGUAGCUGGCUUAGUGGAGCCUUUAGUUGCUAAGAAUAGCAAACCAGAGGAAAUUUUAGUAAUCUGUGUCAUAUUCACUAGAUUGCGUAGCCAGAAUACUGUAUCGAUGUAUUAGUCAGGAGCAGCCACGAAUGUCCAACUGGAGUGUUGGUGUGAAGGUGAAUUAGUUUUCGACCCAAAUAUGGGUAAUUUAAAAAAGGUGCAGGCUUUGCCAAGGAAAUAGAUUUCAGUAUGUGUUUCACUAUCGGACUCGAAGCUAUUUUUAUAUCCGAUAUAGUUUCACAAACGGACGCUAUAACAGACUUAUGAACUAGAAUGGUCCGGUAGGAGAGACCAUGAGAUAAAUACAGAUAAUCGAGAAAUCUAGCUACAUUUGCUAAUUCGGGUACACGAGAAUUAAUACUAUUUUCUUGACAAAACCUUACCCCUUAUUCUAAAAAUGAGCCAAGCUUUCAGGUGUAGAUUGCUGACUUGGGCUGGCGGUAAAAUUAUCAGUGUCCACCAGACUGAUGCUCAGUUAUCUGAGCUUCACGAGUCGUUUGAGGGCAGGUGAUUUCAGGUCUGGCCUCCAAAAGGGCUUCUUGCACUUGGGUACCACUAGUAUGUACAGACUUGAGGUUGAGUUGAAGUGGUCCAGCACUCUGGAUAUCAGACCGAGCGGCGGAAACGGCCAUGCUAGUCAGUAAUGCCAAGAUCUGCUGAACGCGUUGUAGAGGAGGCGUUCGAGUUUUGCUUUGAUGGGAGGACGAGCUCACAGCCCACCUGGUAUUAUAUGGUCACUAGAGCCCAUAGACGUCUAGAACGUAAAAGCGCCACCCAUCUUGAGAUAUAAGAUCUAAGGUCUCAGGUAUAGUUACAACGGCUGCCCCACCCUUCAAACCGAAAUGCACCACUGCUUCACGGCAAAAUACCUACUCGCGCGGACUCAAGAGGUCCUACCGCGAGUUUCAAUAAGUCUUGAGUAACAUAGUUUGUUAUCCAUGAGCGGUCCGAGACGCGAACAAGUCUAUGUCUGGUGUUUCCCACAGGUUGAAUAGCCUAGUGGUUGCUUCUUCUAUGAGGAGAUAACACUCCGAGCCGCCGUGAUUGCGUAAGAGGUGGCCGGCUUCGGUGUUGUACAGUCCCGGUGGUAAGUGGUGAGGGAUAAGUACAACUUUGAGGUGGUCUAUUAAAGUUAGCAAUUGAUGACGUGGUUCGUGGCCAUUCUCUGUGGAUGAAUCGGUAUCCUCUGACUGACUUUCUCUAACCACCAAUUCAGCUCUGUACGUACCUCGUCCGAAUACUGCUUUGGUAAAUGAGGAUACCUCCUGAGCUUGUUGCUGUGAUACUGCAAGAUCUCGGCAUAGCAACUUUCCCCGUUGGGUGAUGAAAGUCGCAAAGUUGAGAUAUCCUAAGAGGCUUUGCGCCUGCUUUAGGUUCCAACUGCCAGCAGCAAAUCGCACGAGCAAAUUCUUGGGCAGGGACUUUGUGUUGGAUUUGGUGUCCCAUACGAUUUCCAGAAAGUCUGUCAAGCUCGUCGGUGUCAUAACCGGUCGUUUAUAUGGGUGGACGAGUUCACAGCCCACCUGGUGUUAAGUAGUUACUGGAGCCCAUAAACAUCUACAGCGUAAAUGAUGCCACCCACCUUGAGAUAUGAGUUCUAAGGUCUCAGUAUAGUUACUUGAGAUUCCAACACGUCUUUUGCCCUUGUAGGCAGACGAGCAUACUGCCCACCUGAAAGUGAGAAGUUACCGUCGCCCAUGGACUUCAGCAACGCCAGGGGCAGAGCCAAGCCGCUGCCUAUUGCUUAAUUCUCUCCACAAGCCUCGUUUAAAGAAGGACAUGUCAUAGCGCUCGGGAAACACCGUGGAGAGAGCUCAUUCCGUAGCCAGAUGGUACGUGGCAAAAAAUACCUCUGGAAACGCACUGUCAAUGAACGCAGCGGUUCCAGAUAAUAUGGAUGAACUCUGCUCCGAUGGCGGGAGGUGCUCUGCCCUGGUGUACAAGCGAAUAACCGCUAGUCGCAGUAUUCUGAAGUAUUUCGGCUAUUCAGUUUGUCACUGAAGCAAAAAAUCCAUCCGCGGUGGUGCAGCUAAGCCGAAUGGCAGACAUGUCAUUUGAAGUAGACGACCCUGAUAACUGAUCCCGAGAAACCUGCUCAAUCUGUUGUAAAACUUAGGGACUCGUUGAUGGUGGAAAAGGUGAAAAUGACUUUCAUGUACUUGUUCAAUGCCUUGAGGUUGAAAAUUGUUCGAUUCUUUCAUUAGUCUUGGGAAGUAUGAAAAGAGGAAAUAUGAAAGACGGUGUCGGGGGUGCGGGUUCUAAAACUCUAUUGAAUUAAAUUUUGAAUUUUGAUUGACAUCAAAGGUGAUGGAGUUUGAUAGGCUGAAACAUCCAAGUUUGGAAGAACCAAUGGACAUGUUUUGUUUAAAGGUAUUUGAAAACCUGUUAUUAAUUUCAAUAUUACGUUUGGUGGAUCGAGUCCAGGUGCUUCGAUAUAGUCCUAGACAUCCGCCUGAAAAUGCUGUUGGGUAAUUUAUUUUUAUUUCCCGAUUUUCGUUCCUCUUUGAACUUGUUCCCCCUCCCCCCGUUUUUCUUGCUUAGGAAUUAUUUGGAUAGCAUCGCUCAGAAUAUCUGUUUUCGGCCUCUUUAGAUGUAUUGGAAUGUGGCCUAGCUCGACAUGGCUUUGCAUUGGCAGUACAUGCCGAGGGUUCCGGCGAUGUGGGCCGGAUGCGAGUAGCAGAUGGUGCCGUUUUGUAAUUUAUCAAUACCACCAAUCUUCUGUGUAUAUGCCAAUAAUAAGUUGGGGUUAAACAUAUAAUCACAAGAUAUUUUCUCUAAAUCUUCCCUGAUAUACCUAUCCUUUAAUUUCAUUAAGGGGUAUCUACGACAUCGUAUAACUUCGGCUCGCUUACCGUAAAUUAUUUGAAGAAUAUCGUUAGAAACUUUUAUAGCCGAAAUAGUUACCAAAUAGCGGUUUCAACUUUUCGUAAAUGGCGGAAGUAUUAAGCUGAACAUCCGCUGAAUUUGACCAGUCGGCAAGGUUUGUAUGGCAGUAUAACGCAUUCGUUCUGUGCCAAGAUAGCAUUAGAUAUCGCAGCAAAACAACAUUGCAUUUUUUUUUUUUUUUUGAAUAGCGCACCGCGUUUCAAGUCGGCUAGUCAAAUCUGAAAUAUUACGGUUUUACAUAACAAUAAAACCGAUAUUAUGUGCCGAGAAGGAAAACAUACAGCAUUGUAUUAUGAAGAAGCAGUGUGUACUUAGCUUAAAUUCCUUGUCUAUGUCCAACCAUAGACAGUCAAUUUAGUUCCAUCUUUAGCCGCUAGGUGCUGCCAGCAAGUAUAAAGGAAGCGCAGCCAUCUUUGAUCUUCAUAGUCUUCACCAGGAAGAACUUCCUGCAAUGCUGUAUGUUUUCCUUCUCGGCACAUAAUAUCGGUUUUAUUGUUAUGUAAAACCGUAAUAUUGAUGUGCCUUUGGAAAACAUACAGCAUUGUAUUAUGAAGACGUGUUUGUUAUCUGCUGGUGAAAUUAUUAAGCACAACGCUAUGAUGAAAUAGAAAGUCGACAGCGCUGCUUUAUGCAGAAGGAUUGUUUUACAGGCAAAAUUUUCUUUUUGAAAAAGAGAAAAAGAGAAAAAAAGAAAACAGAAUUUGGCAACAUCUGCAGACUUAGGAUCAAUUUUAAAACUGUAGCACCAUAUGCACCAUCUUCUAGUUGCUGGUAAGUAUGCUGGCAAAGUGGAUUGACACCAGCUUAUUUUCAAUAAAUCUUCUCCUGUGUAGACCAGUCUAUUAUUUGUACAACCCCCCCCCCCCGUUUCUAAGCUUUCAGGGUUAAUGUUUACCCUGUGGAGGAGGCAGGUUUUGGAUUUCGUGCGAGUUAUCUAGCGUUCGGGAUCUGAGGGCUUGGAAACCCAAAUGCUUUCGCUCAGUCUGGAAACACUACCAGGUAGGUUCCCUAGACACUGUUGAAGUGAGUCAGUACUCUGGGGAAAAGGUUGAGAGGAGGAAUUCUCCAUGCUAGUUGCAUCCUCUACGGUCUGCUGAAGGUAUCCAAUUUUGGUCGGCGAAUGGGUUUAUAUCCGGAUGACCCCACUUUCGAAAAACUUUUGUGGUCACUUGUGGUAAAAAGUGCCAUUUCACAGGUUGAUUUCCUCGUGAUAGCCUAUCGGCUACGAUGUUGUAUCUCCCCGAGAGAUUAUAAGCUGACAGUUAUCUUGAACUUAUCGCUUAGUUUAAAAAUCGAAAGGUCAACCGCUAGUGAAAUACUUUCAGAUUCAUUUUGAUUGUCACUACCAUUGCAAAUAGCUCUUUUGUGGUUGAGCCGUUUCAGUUGUUGAGCUGACCACAGACAGGACGUUAAUAUUUUGUCUAAUUGUAACCCCUACCCAUAUCCGAAGCUUCCGUUGCCAGGAAAUGGUUGGUUUUGUGUCUCGGCAAUGUUUGACAUGUGGCUCCGCGUCAGCACUGCAUUUGUAACCCGUACACAUGUCCGAAGCUUCCGUUGCCAGGAAAUGGUUGGUUUUGUGUAUCGGCAAUGUCUGACAUGUGGCUCCGCGUCAGCACUGCAUUUAAUUGUUAACACAUGCAGGAUGGCCUGUACGGGGUUGUUUUUUUUUUUUUUUUUUUUUUUUUUUUCUUGAAACUUCGCAAGAAAAUUUGCAAGUUAACAUAGAGUGAUGUAAUUCCGUCAGAGUUUGAGCUAGAAUGUUGUUGAGUGGCCACUUUAUUUCUCGCAAUUUUUCAUCGAAUCCCUAGCCAUGUCAUCUCUUGAACCAGUGUACUAAUUGAUUUUUUGUAAGGCUGACUUGGCAGCCCAAAUAAUCAAAGAGCUUCACAGCUUAUGUGGCCUGAAGACUCAACUUGGACUUCUUUUGAUGGACCAGGAGGGACUUGCGUAGGUGGGAUAACACUCAACAUCCCUUUGCACGCAAUGUUUCCGUGACUGAGCAUGCUAUGCAAGCAAAAAAGGUGUAUUUGUCUUCAUGGACCAAGAGAAAGUCGCGUAGGUAGGUUAACAUUUGACUUCCCUAUGUACGUAAGGUCUUCGCGACCGAGCAUGUUAUGGGAGCAAAAAAGUUUAGUUGUCUUGGUGAAACAAGAUCAAGUCGUGUAGGUAAGCUAGCACUUCGACUUUGCACGCAAUGUCUCCGCGACCGAGCAUGCUAUGGAAGCAAAAAGGUGUAUUUGUCUUCAAGGACCGAGAGAAAGUCGCGUAGGUACGUUAACAUUUGACUUCCCUAUGUACGCAAGGUCUCCGCGACCGAGCAUGCUAUGGGAACAAAAACGUUUAUUUGUCUUGGUGAAACAAGAUUAAGUCGUGUAGGUAAGCUAGCACUCUACUUUGCACGCAAUGUCUCCGCGACCGAGCGACCGAGCACCCUACAUAAUGGAAAUUGACAUGCCAGCCCAGAUAAUCCAAAAUCUUCACGGCUUCUGCAGCCUGAAGUUUCAACUUGGAUUUGUCUUGGUCGACCAAAAGGAAGUCGUCUAGGAAGACUAGCACUCGAGUUCCUUUUGCACGCAAGGUCUCUGCGACCCAGCAUGUUAUGGAAGCAAAAAAGGUUAAUCCAAAAGCUUCACAGCUUCUGCAGCCUGAAGUUUCAACUUGGAUUCGUCUUGGUCGACCAAAAGGAAGUCGUCUAGUAGACACUAGCACUCGAGUUCCCUUUGCACGCGAGGUCUCUGCGACCCGCAUGUUAUAGAAGCAAAAAGGUGUGGCUCUGAAGCCAGACCGAAGGGUAGGCAUGUCAUUUCAUACUAACUCAUAAGAAGGUACCGAUUCCUUCCUGAAGGUACUGAUACUGGUACCUUGGUACUGAUCCUCAAGAA